RNAcentral lists this microRNA precursor (79 nucleotides) under Choloepus hoffmanni (Hoffmann's two-fingered sloth). RNAcentral describes it as "miRNA (ENSCHOG00000015545.1)". The record is from RNAcentral. Lineage: Eukaryota; Metazoa; Chordata; Mammalia; Pilosa; Megalonychidae.
UUUGUGUUUUUGUGUGUGUGCAUGUGCAUGUGUGCAUGUAUUCAGUAUACAAUGCACACACACAUAUAGCUGACUGUUA